RNAcentral lists this ribosomal RNA (253 nucleotides) under uncultured bacterium. RNAcentral describes it as "partial 16S ribosomal RNA". It matches the Rfam family "Bacterial small subunit ribosomal RNA", at positions 524 to 776 of the family's 1533-position model. The record is from RNAcentral.
UACGGAGGAUGCAAGCGUUAUCCGGAAUGAUUGGGCGUAAAGCGUCCGCAGGUGGCUGUGUAAGUCUGCUGUUAAAUAGUGAGGCUCAACCUCAUAAAGGCAGUGGAAACUACACGGCUAGAGUGCGUUCGGGGCAGAGGGAAUUCCUGGUGUAGCGGUGAAAUGCGUAGAGAUCAGGAAGAACACCGGUGGCGAAAGCACUCUGCUGGGCCGACACUGACACUGAGAGACGAAAGCUAGGGGAGCGAAUGGG